RNAcentral lists this ribosomal RNA (2881 nucleotides) under Klebsiella pneumoniae. RNAcentral's name for it is "bacterial LSU rRNA". It matches the Rfam family "Bacterial large subunit ribosomal RNA". Lineage: Bacteria; Pseudomonadati; Pseudomonadota; Gammaproteobacteria; Enterobacterales; Enterobacteriaceae. The record is from RNAcentral.
UUAAGCGACUAAGCGUACACGGUGGAUGCCCUGGCAGUCAGAGGCGAUGAAGGACGUGCUAAUCUGCGAAAAGCGUCGGUAAGGUGAUAUGAACCGUUAUANNNNNNNNNNNNNNNNNNNNNNCACUAUCGUUAACUGAAUACAUAGGUUAACGAGGCGAACCGGGGGAACUGAAACAUCUAAGUACCCCGAGGAAAAGAAAUCAACCGAGAUUCCCCCAGUAGCGGCGAGCGAACGGGGAGCAGCCCAGAGUCUGAAUCAGCUUGUGUGUUAGUGGAACGGUCUGGAAAGUCCGACGGUACAGGGUGAUAGUCCCGUACACCAAAAUGCACAGGCUGUGAACUCGAAGAGUAGGGCGGGACACGUGGUAUCCUGUCUGAAUAUGGGGGGACCAUCCUCCAAGGCUAAAUACUCCUGACUGACCGAUAGUGAACCAGUACCGUGAGGGAAAGGCGAAAAGAACCCCGGCGAGGGGAGUGAAAAAGAACCUGAAACCGUGUACGUACAAGCAGUGGGAGCACCUUCGGGUGUGACUGCGUACCUUUUGUAUAAUGGGUCAGCGACUUAUAUUCUGUAGCAAGGUUAACCGUAUAGGGGAGCCGCAGGGAAACCGAGUCUUAACUGGGCGUUAAGUUGCAGGGUAUAGACCCGAAACCCGGUGAUCUAGCCAUGGGCAGGUUGAAGGUUGGGUAACACUAACUGGAGGACCGAACCGACUAAUGUUGAAAAAUUAGCGGAUGACUUGUGGCUGGGGGUGAAAGGCCAAUCAAACCGGGAGAUAGCUGGUUCUCCCCGAAAGCUAUUUAGGUAGCGCCUCGUGAACUCAUCUUCGGGGGUAGAGCACUGUUUCGGCUAGGGGGUCAUCCCGACUUACCAACCCGAUGCAAACUACGAAUACCGAAGAAUGUUAUCACGGGAGACACACGGCGGGUGCUAACGUCCGUCGUGAAGAGGGAAACAACCCAGACCGCCAGCUAAGGUCCCAAAGUCAUGGUUAAGUGGGAAACGAUGUGGGAAGGCACAGACAGCCAGGAUGUUGGCUUAGAAGCAGCCAUCAUUUAAAGAAAGCGUAAUAGCUCACUGGUCGAGUCGGCCUGCGCGGAAGAUGUAACGGGGCUAAACCAUGCACCGAAGCUGCGGCAGCGACACUAUGUGUUGUUGGGUAGGGGAGCGUUCUGUAAGCCUGCGAAGGUGUGCUGUGAGGCAUGCUGGAGGUAUCAGAAGUGCGAAUGCUGACAUAAGUAACGAUAAAGCGGGUGAAAAGCCCGCUCGCCGGAAGACCAAGGGUUCCUGUCCAACGUUAAUCGGGGCAGGGUGAGUCGACCCCUAAGGCGAGGCCGAAAGGCGUAGUCGAUGGGAAACAGGUUAAUAUUCCUGUACUUGGUGUUACUGCGAAGGGGGGACGGAGAAGGCUAUGUUAGCCGGGCGACGGUUGUCCCGGUUUAAGCAUGUAGGCUGAUUGUCCAGGCAAAUCCGGAUAAUCAAGGCUGAGGUGUGAUGACGAGGCACUACGGUGCUGAAGUAACAAAUGCCCUGCUUCCAGGAAAAGCCUCUAAGCAUCAGGUAACAUCAAAUCGUACCCCAAACCGACACAGGUGGUCAGGUAGAGAAUACCAAGGCGCUUGAGAGAACUCGGGUGAAGGAACUAGGCAAAAUGGUGCCGUAACUUCGGGAGAAGGCACGCUGGUGUGUAGGUGAAGCCCCUGCGGGUGGAGCUGAGACCAGUCGAAGAUACCAGCUGGCUGCAACUGUUUAUUAAAAACACAGCACUGUGCAAACACGAAAGUGGACGUAUACGGUGUGACGCCUGCCCGGUGCCGGAAGGUUAAUUGAUGGGGUUAUCCGUAAGGAGAAGCUCUUGAUCGAAGCCCCGGUAAACGGCGGCCGUAACUAUAACGGUCCUAAGGUAGCGAAAUUCCUUGUCGGGUAAGUUCCGACCUGCACGAAUGGCGUAAUGAUGGCCAGGCUGUCUCCACCCGAGACUCAGUGAAAUUGAACUCGCUGUGAAGAUGCAGUGUACCCGCGGCAAGACGGAAAGACCCCGUGAACCUUUACUAUAGCUUGACACUGAACAUUGAGCCUUGAUGUGUAGGAUAGGUGGGAGGCUUUGAAGCGUGGACGCCAGUCUGCGUGGAGCCAACCUUGAAAUACCACCCUUUAAUGUUUGAUGUUCUAACGUUGGCCCCUGACCGGGGUUGCGGACAGUGUCUGGUGGGUAGUUUGACUGGGGCGGUCUCCUCCCAAAGCGUAACGGAGGAGCACGAAGGUUAGCUAAUCCUGGUCGGACAUCAGGAGGUUAGUGCAAUGGCAUAAGCUAGCUUGACUGCGAGCGUGACGGCGCGAGCAGGUGCGAAAGCAGGUCAUAGUGAUCCGGUGGUUCUGAAUGGAAGGGCCAUCGCUCAACGGAUAAAAGGUACUCCGGGGAUAACAGGCUGAUACCGCCCAAGAGUUCAUAUCGACGGCGGUGUUUGGCACCUCGAUGUCGGCUCAUCACAUCCUGGGGCUGAAGUAGGUCCCAAGGGUAUGGCUGUUCGCCAUUUAAAGUGGUACGCGAGCUGGGUUUAGAACGUCGUGAGACAGUUCGGUCCCUAUCUGCCGUGGGCGCUGGAGAAUUGAGGGGGGCUGCUCCUAGUACGAGAGGACCGGAGUGGACGCAUCACUGGUGUUCGGGUUGUCAUGCCAAUGGCACUGCCCGGUAGCUAAAUGCGGAAGAGAUAAGUGCUGAAAGCAUCUAAGCACGAAACUUGCCCCGAGAUGAGUUCUCCCUGAGACUUUAAGUCUCCUGAAGGAACGUUAAAGACGAUGACGUUGAUAGGCCGGGUGUGUAAGCGCAGCGAUGCGUUGAGCUAACCGGUACUAAUGAACCGUGAGGCUUAACCUU